GAUUCGUCACACUAUCAUUAACUGAAUCCAUAGGUUAAUGAGGCGAACCGGGGGAACUGAAACAUCUAAGUACCCCGAGGAAAAGAAAUCAACCGAGAUUCCCCCAGUAGCGGCGAGCGAACGGGGAGGAGCCCAGAGCCUGAAUCAGCAUGUGUGUUAGUGGAAGCGUCUGGAAAGGCGCGCGAUACAGGGUGACAGCCCCGUACACAAAAGCGCAUGUGCUGUGAGCUCGAUGAGUAGGGCGGGACACGUGGUAUCCUGUCUGAAUAUGGGGGGACCAUCCUCCAAGGCUAAAUACUCCUGACUGACCGAUAGUGAACCAGUACCGUGAGGGAAAGGCGAAAAGAACCCCGGCGAGGGGAGUGAAAAAGAACCUGAAACCG
RNAcentral lists this ribosomal RNA (383 nucleotides) under Salmonella enterica subsp. enterica serovar Typhimurium. Its description in RNAcentral is "partial 23S ribosomal RNA". It matches the Rfam family "Bacterial large subunit ribosomal RNA", at positions 137 to 558 of the family's 2925-position model. Lineage: Bacteria; Pseudomonadati; Pseudomonadota; Gammaproteobacteria; Enterobacterales; Enterobacteriaceae. The record is from RNAcentral.